UACGUAGGGGGCAAGCGUUGUCCGGAUUUAUUGGGCGUAAAGAGCUCGUAGGCGGUUUGGUAAGUCGGGUGUGAAAUCUCCACGCUCAACGUGGAGGGGCCACUCGAUACUGCCAUGACUCGAGUCCGGAAGAGGAGUGUGGAAUUCCCGGUGUAGCGGUGAAAUGCGCAGAUAUCGGGGAAGAACACCCGUGGCGAAGGCGGCACUCUGGGACGGUACUGACGCUGAGACGCGAAAGCGUGGGGAGCGAACAGG
RNAcentral lists this ribosomal RNA (255 nucleotides) under uncultured bacterium. Its description in RNAcentral is "partial 16S ribosomal RNA". It matches the Rfam family "Bacterial small subunit ribosomal RNA", at positions 524 to 776 of the family's 1533-position model. The record is from RNAcentral.